GACGAACGCUGGCGGCGUGCUUAACACAUGCAAGUCGAACGGAAAGGCCCUGCUUUUGUGGGGUGCUCGAGUGACGAACGGGUGAGUAACACGUGAGUAACCUGCCCUUGACUUUGGGAUAACUUCAGGAAACUGGGGUUAAUACCGGAUAGGAGCUCCUGCUGCAUGGUGGGGGUUGGAAAGUUUCGGCGGUUGGGGAUGGACUCGCGGCUUAUCAGCUUGUUGGUGGGGUAGUGGCUUACCAAGGCUUUGACGGGUUGCCGGCCUGAGAGGGUGACCGGCCACAUUGGGACUGAGAUACGGCCCAGACUCCUACGGGAGGCAGCAGUGGGGAAUAGUGCACAAUGGGCGGAAGCCUGAUGCAGCAACUCCGCGUGCGGGAUGACGGCCUUCGGGUUGUAAAGCGCUUUCGCCUGUGACGAAGCGUGAGUGACGGUAAUGGGUAAAGAAGCACCGGCUAACUACGUG
This 468-nucleotide ribosomal RNA is filed under the name uncultured bacterium. RNAcentral's name for it is "partial 16S ribosomal RNA". It matches the Rfam family "Bacterial small subunit ribosomal RNA", at positions 28 to 507 of the family's 1533-position model. The record is from RNAcentral.